Molecule: ribosomal RNA, 390 nt
Filed under: Parachondria gnota
Lineage: Eukaryota; Metazoa; Mollusca; Gastropoda; Littorinimorpha; Annulariidae
Description: Chondropoma gnote partial 12S ribosomal RNA
Source: RNAcentral
UAUUUUAAAUUAUAAAUUGAUUUAUCUACCUAAGUAUUAUGAAUGUGUAUUUGAAAUUUAAAGGACUUGGCGGUGUUUUAGACUACUUAGGGGAACCUGUUUUUUAAUCGAUAAUCCUCGUUUUACCUUACCUCUUUUUGUUUUCAGUUUGUAUACCGUCGUCGUCAGUUAACUUUAAAGAAAAUAAAAGUUGUCUUUUUAAAUUUUAGUUUUUGAUGUCAGAUCAAGGUGCAGUUUAUAAAGUAGGUUAAUAUGGGUUACAAUUAUUUAAUUAUAAUUAUGAAUAAUUUUAUGUAAUAUAUUAUUUGAAAGAGGACUUAAAAGUAAUUUAAUUUAGAUAUAUUUAAUGAAUGUAGCUCUUAAAUGUGCACACACCGCCCGUCACCCUCA